CUGUGUGCCAGCUUUAUCAAUGCAGUUUGUUUUCGUAAAGUUUUUAGAUUUAUUCCCUUUGAAAGGUCGCGCCUUGAUGGACAGCAUAACAAGAAGGGAAGAAAAAGAGCGAGGGCAGAGGAGACUCGGGCCGCCAAGUCUCGCCUCGACAUCAGCUGUGUUGUGUUGUCAGAGGUGUGUCAGCCACACCCCCUCCUUGCCUGGUCACUUCAACGUCUCCGAGUCGUUAGCGCGAUGUUUAUGAAUGUAAUAUUAGCAGUGAUGAUAAUUGCCCUCCGUGGUGUUAGCCAAGGUGGAGGACCGAGGAAGCGAGGAAUUUUAUGACUCACUUUAUUGUGAAUAAAGACAGGAAAUGAGCGGAGCAGGAAGGUAAAGCUACACAACAGUCCUUAUCAGAAAGAAGACAUGCUUCAUUUCAUCCUCACCUGCACUCACUAAGGGCAGGUGGUGACACUUACCUCCCUGGCAUCCCAGCAUCCUGACACUCACCUUCCCACCCCACAGCAAGGAGUGGUGGUAUGUUGUGCUUGAUGACAAACCUUUCCUCAAUCACCAUCUGUGUUGCUGUGACAAUCUGUGCCAUGAUGAUGAGGAGGUCACCUGUGGAUCACAGAGGUUUGUGCAGUACUUUCCUGCCACUUACCAGUAAUAACACCAUUGAGAUCUUGAUUGGUCUUGCUUGAGGAAAUGAAGUCUGACAGACCCACAACAACUAAACCAAUCAGCACAAGCACAAUUCCCAGCCAGUGGAAGUAACGCAGCCGCCGCCCAAGGAACCCCACUGAUAACAGUCCCGUGAACACUAUGACUGCUCCUGCAGGACAGAUAAGGCAUUUAAAGAUAUAGUUAUUGUUUAGAGUUUUACAAAUAUCUCUACUUUGAUUUGUUCCUCUUUCUUUCCCCUUUCACCUAAUGCACCCAAACCAUUCCAUUCUCCAGUGUCUUAGCCUUACUCUCUCUUCCUCUGCUGCCUGCUGCCACCCUUGUCCUUACCUCUCAGCAUUUGAAAGGAGCUAGCAUAGGUGAGGGUAAGGCCAAGGUACAUCAUGGAGGUGGCUGUCAUGUCACAUAUUGCUGGCAGGUAGAACACGAGUGGUGGAAACUUGGUGUUCUGGCCAAAGGGAAACUCAUUAGUACCUAUUAUCUUGUGUUUGACCAAUAAUAAAAGUACAUUCAUAUAGUAUCACUUUGUUGUAUUUGCCUAGUGUGGAAAGUCACUUAGCAUGUCAUGGAUGGAUGGAUGGAUGGGUAGGAGGGAACACACUAGAAAUGUUUAAAGGAAGGUGAUGAAGUUCUGUUGGUAUGGUUGGUGAGACAGUUUUAUGUGUGUUGGGAAUGAGGAUAAGGUACAGAAAUAUUAGCAGGAAGCUUGAAUUGUGCCAUUAUAUGAAGUCCCAACUUAUGAGGAAUAACUUUACUCUUUGUAUCAAGAAAAUGGGAAAAACACAAAGAAUGUCAGAAUUAGAAAAUAAAACAAAAGUAUAAUGAAAGACCAAAAUAAAUGGAAAUGCCAACACUUGAGGAAAGAAAGGAGAGGAAAGACCUAAUCACAAUACAUAUUCUGAUAAAUGGACUGGGAAACAGAGAGAGAGAAAAAAAUGUUAUUGCUUGAAUAAAAAGAUAGGCAGGAUAUUUGAGAGGACACAAGAAAAGAUGAGGAUGGGAAAAUAUUGAAAUUGCAUGAUAGAUGUACUGUUCCUCUCUUAUAAACAUAGAUACCAAGAAUAGACUAGAAGUGAUGUAGGCAAGGACUGUAGAUAAAUUAAAUUAAAAACUGGAAGAAUAUAGAUGUGGAGACAAAACCACAAAACUGUAACUCAGAUUUUGUAUACUACAUAUAGGUAAAUAUAUAAACACACACACACACACACACACACACACACACACACACACACACACACACACUUGCCUGGUCGGAGUCCAAAGCCAAUUCUGAGGCACCUUUCCGUGCUCUUCGCCGCAAGAACCUCAAAAUGUAGAAGGCAGCCAUACCUGUUGGUAAGCUGAGCAUUAAUCCUUUCACUGUUAUUCAGCACAUCUUCCCUGAAUCACCAACCACUUAGGGACAUCUUUCCUUGUUCUGCUGCCUCCUCCAAACAUUGUAUGGCAUAGAAAUUCUUAAGUAUGUUAUUUUUACACCUUUCUUUCUUGUAGGUGUUUAUAAGACUCCAUAUGUUGCUUUUAGUGUUUUGAAUUGUUGCAUAUCACAGUGAAAGGGAGAGAGAGAGAGAGAGAGAGAGAGAGAGAGAGAGAGAGAGAGAGAGAGAGAGAGAGAGAGAGAGAGAGAGAGAGAGAGAGAGGCUUAUAAAAAUACAUUCUGAACACUCACAGGUCAUCUCUCCCAUAAACAUACAGUCCGCCUGAAGGAAGGGAUGGUUGAAGUUGACUACAUUGCCAUGACGGUUUUCAGAAACAAUGCGGUCUGUCCACCUGCAGGGGAGAGAAGAUGUGAAGGGCUCUGGUGCUGGUGAAUUGUCCUGCGUUAGUAGUAGUAGUGGUGGUGGUAAUGAUGGUUUAAGCUGUAGUAGUAGUAUAUAGUAUAGUAGUAGUAGCAGCAGUUGUAGUAAUUAUAUUAGUACAUUAUAGUUGCAGUGGCAGUACUAGUUCAUAGUAGUGAUAGUAGUGACAAAAAUAAAAACAGCAGCAGUAGGCAAUAAUUACAGCAUUACAGUGAAAGUCAAUGAAAUUUGUGCUGUGAUAUGGUGACUUAUUUUAUUUUAUUUAUUUUUUGUAUCCUUAGAAAAUUUUCUCUUCCUCCACUCUUGUCUAUUUUGUAUCAUUCCUUCUCUUCUAAGCUCAGAGCUAGAAGAACUUAGAGGAGAAGGAAUUAUAUAACAUAGACAAGAGUGGAAGAAGAGGCUGGCUUCACUCAAAGAGAUUCCUCUCUCACUGGGAGCUCAAAUAAGAAGUAAAAAGUACUUAAGUAAAGAAAAUUUUCUCAA
This is a long non-coding RNA of Scylla paramamosain (green mud crab), 2942 nucleotides long. RefSeq lists it as uncharacterized. NCBI's taxonomy places the organism in Eukaryota, Metazoa, Arthropoda, Malacostraca, Decapoda, Portunidae. The transcript is spliced from 3 exons. The record is from RefSeq and is a predicted model, not a curated record.